AACGAACGCUGGCGGCAUGCCUAACACAUGCAAGUCGAACGAAGCCUUCGGGCUUAGUGGCGCACGGGUGCGUAACGCGUGGGAAUCUGCCCUUGGGUUCGGAAUAACAGUUAGAAAUGACUGCUAAUACCGAAUGAUGUCUUCGGACCAAAGAUUUAUCGCCCAAGGAUGAGCCCGCGUCGGAUUAGCUAGUUGGUGAGGUAAAGGCUCACCAAGGCGACGAUCCGUAGCUGGUCUGAGAGGAUGAUCAGCCACACUGGGACUGAGACACGGCCCAGACUCCUACGGGAGGCAGCAGUGGGGAAUAUUGGACAAUGGGCGAAAGCCUGAUCCAGCAAUGCCGCGUGAGUGAUGAAGGCCUUAGGGUUGUAAAGCUCUUUUACCCGGGAUGAUAAUGACAGUACCGGAGAAUAAGCCCCGGCUAACUCCGUGCCAGCAGCCGCGGUAA
This 448-nucleotide ribosomal RNA is filed under the name uncultured bacterium. RNAcentral describes it as "bacterial SSU rRNA". It matches the Rfam family "Bacterial small subunit ribosomal RNA", at positions 29 to 523 of the family's 1533-position model. The record is from RNAcentral.